CUGGACAGUGACAGUCCUCAUAACAAAAAAAAAUUAAGUUUACAAAAUAUUUCAAAUAUUUGCUCAAUUAAUAAUUUAAUUCUUCUUACUGUAAAAUUGACUAGGCCAAAGGUUUUCAGUAAGCUUUUAUGUGUUCAGGACACAUAGUUUAAACAGUGAGAUAUUGUAGCAGAAGGUGACAUGGCACACAUUCUGCCAGAAGGUGGAGCUUCAGGAAAGAUUCUAUUUCAGUCUCAGUUCAGCUGUUUUAAAACAGAGCAGACACACAUUGAGUCGCUCACACUUUAGAAGAGAACUGUAAGUAUUGAUCCUCAAAGUUAUUGUUUUUAUCAGUGCAGAUGUUGCUCCUCGUAUUCCUGACAUUUUCUCUCCUAAAAGAGACUGCUGGUGAAGAUGUCAUAAAACCAGUCGUCACAGAGAAGCAUGUUUUGGAAGGAAAAGAUGUUACACUGAUCUGCAAAUACACUGAAACUGUUCAAAAUUUACAAUGGUAUCGUCAGUAUCCUGGAUCCAAACCUGAGCACCUCAUCACGUUCUAUGAGACCACUCCACAUAAAGACACCACUCUCCGUCUGAACGCUGCGGCUGAUAAAACAGCCAAAAAUAUGAAUUUGACGAUCUCUUCUACAGAAGUGACAGACUCUGCCAUGUACUACUGUGCCCUGCAGCCCACAUUGACAGGAAACACAACUACACUGUACAAAAACUGAGUGAGAAAUAUAUUUGCGGAAGAUGAUGAUGCACAAUGCAGUUUUCUGAACUGCACACUAAUCUGCUACAUGUUGGAAUACAUUUUAAAUGGAUG
Molecule: non-coding RNA, 805 nt
Organism: Carassius auratus (goldfish)
Lineage: Eukaryota; Metazoa; Chordata; Actinopteri; Cypriniformes; Cyprinidae
Source: the annotation of a RefSeq genome assembly